This 316-nucleotide non-coding RNA is filed under the name Oryza sativa Indica Group (long-grained rice). Lineage: Eukaryota; Viridiplantae; Streptophyta; Magnoliopsida; Poales; Poaceae. The record is from RNAcentral.
UUUGCCGGGGCGGAGGACAGAUAAGAUACUAAUAUAAGAGUACAGAGAGUACAAAUGCUUACAAAUAAAUUAUCAGCUGAGCCGGCUGAGAGAGAGUUCAUGUAUAUAUGUGUGUGGAUCAUAAAAAGCUAAGAGAAGAAGAGGGAGCGUACAGCCUUGGUGAAAAGGGUAGUAGGCGUCGCAAGUACUUCCACCAUCUAACAACUAAACCGCCCAAAGCUGUACUCUCUCUCUUCUCCAUUUAGCCUUCACGAUAUGAUCGUCUAUCGAUCUCCUUCUCUUAGUUGCUCUAGAAGUUGGAUCCCUCUGGGUUUAU